UGCGGCUGGAUCCCCUCCUUUCUAGAGUGGCACUGGAGCGAAAGCUCAACAUCAAGCGCCCACGCUUAUCGGCUGUUGUAAAGUUAAACGAGAACAGUUCGGGUCUGUAGCUCAGUCGGUUAGAGCACCGUGUUGAUAACGCGGGGGUCGUUGGUUCGAAUCCAACCAGACCCACCAGGUUAUCAAAGCCUGCGGGGGAUUAGCUCAGCUGGGAGAGCACCUGCUUUGCAAGCAGGGGGUCGUCGGUUCGAUCCCGUCAUCCUCCACCAUUCACUGUAUUUAUGUAAGCCUGGUGGUUUAGAUAAGUGUAGUUCUCGUUCUUUAACAAUCUGGAAGAAGUAAAGUUUUCUUUAAGCGUGUCGCCAACGAAAGUUGGAAACACACUUAGGGUAGUAAUCUGUUGUAUCAACAAACAUAGUAAGCUGAACUCUUGUCGAUAUGACGUUCCCUGUACUCAUGCAGGGGCCAACGUUAUAGGGACAAGUGAAUAAGUGCACAUGGUGGAUGCCUUGGCGAUUACAGGCGAUGAAGGACGUUGUAGCUUGCGAUAAGCUGCGGGGAGUGAGCAAACACACUUUGAUCCGCAGAUUUCCGAAUGGGGAAACCCGG
Molecule: unclassified non-coding RNA, 609 nt
Filed under: uncultured bacterium
Lineage: Bacteria
Description: partial contains 16S ribosomal RNA, 16S-23S ribosomal RNA intergenic spacer, and 23S ribosomal RNA
Rfam family: Bacterial large subunit ribosomal RNA (bases 478-609)
Source: RNAcentral